This 524-nucleotide ribosomal RNA is filed under the name uncultured bacterium. RNAcentral's name for it is "bacterial SSU rRNA". It matches the Rfam family "Bacterial small subunit ribosomal RNA", at positions 984 to 1509 of the family's 1533-position model. The record is from RNAcentral.
ACAUCCAGAGAACUUAGCAGAGAUGCUUUGGUGCCUUCGGGAACUCUGAGACAGGUGCUGCAUGGCUGUCGUCAGCUCGUGUUGUGAAAUGUUCGGGUUAAGUCCCGNAACGAGCGCAACCCUUAUCCUUUGUGCCAGCGGUUCGGCCGGGAACUCAAAGGAGACUGCCGGUGAUAAACCGGAGGAAGGUGGGAUGACGUCAAGUCAUCAUGGCCCUUACGGCCAGGGCUACACACGUGCUACAAUGGCGCAUACAAAGAGAAGCGACCUCGCGAGAGCAAGCGGACCUCAUAAAGUGCGUCGUAGUCCGGAUUGGAGUCUGCAACUCGACUCCAUGAAGUCGGAAUCGCUAGUAAUCGUAGAUCAGAAUGCUACGGUGAAUACGUUCCCGGGCCUUGUACACACCGCCCGUCACACCAUGGGAGUGGGUUGCAAAAGAAGUAGGUAGCUUAACCUUCGGGAGGGCGCUUACCACUUUGUGAUUCAUGACUGGGGUGAAGUCGUAACAAGGUAGGCGUAGCGAG